Long non-coding RNA from Apus apus (common swift), 628 nucleotides. RefSeq lists it as uncharacterized. The record is from RefSeq and is a predicted model, not a curated record. NCBI's taxonomy places the organism in Eukaryota, Metazoa, Chordata, Aves, Apodiformes, Apodidae. The transcript is spliced from 2 exons.
CGCGGCGCCUCCCCGGGCGGCCUGCGCCGCGCGGGCCCCGCCGCCGGGCGGGCGGCAGGAAGGGUGGCUGGGGGUGUGUGUGGUGAGCGCUCGUGGUGAGCCCUGGGGCGGCGCCUGGCGCUGCGAGGCCGCCGGGGCUCCUCCUCCUCCGGCAACGGGCCCUGCUCCCGGCGGCGGGGAGCGCGGCCAGCCUGAGGUGUGGCGAAACAAACCAAAGCCAGCCAAACCAAACCAACCAACACCAAGCGCACCCCCGCCAAAAAAAAAUAAUAAAAAAUCCAACUCUCUCUCCAAAAGAAAAAUGAAAAGGGGCAAAAGAGCAGCGGUGUGUGUGGUUCACGCUGCUCUCUUGAGGUAACUUUUCCAGAAAGGCCAUUGAAGUUACCGGCAGGUUUUGAAAUCGGGAAGUCAGCCGCGCUCCAGCAGGCCGAAGAGGAAAAGGAGGUUGUGAAAAAGUCGAACGUCAUAUGCAGUGAGUCUUAAGGGAACUGAGAAGACCUCAACUGUUAGCAUGAGAAGAAGAAAUCUCCUGGUUGGCAGCUGUCUUCACACUACAUGCAUACAAGCUUUUACCAACUGUAGCCAAGCAGACGGUGAUGAACACAUGUUGCCUAUUUUAGAUCUCAAA